Long non-coding RNA from Vicia villosa (hairy vetch), 2338 nucleotides. RefSeq lists it as uncharacterized. The transcript is spliced from 6 exons. The record is from RefSeq and is a predicted model, not a curated record. Lineage: Eukaryota; Viridiplantae; Streptophyta; Magnoliopsida; Fabales; Fabaceae.
CCUAAAAACCCAUUCAUCAAUAUUACUCUCUCUCUUUCGUUCUCUCUCUCUCUCUCUCUCACUUCAAGAUUCAAAAUUCAAAAUUCUUUCCCUUUUUCUCUUCUCUCUCCCGCUUUCUAUCUUCAUCUUUGUAAAAACUUCCCCUUCAUCUCCUCAAAUCCUAAAUCUACCGCCGCCAUUUUCUCCUUCGUCUCUGUUUUUGUGUUUUUAAGAAUGACUGCUGCUACAGCUUCUGGUGUUAUUGAUGGUAAUGGAUCUUCUACUUCAUGUAUGCAAUUUGGAAGAAAGGGAAAGAAACAAAAUAAGAUGAACAGAGUUUGGGUUUGUUGAUCUCCAUCUUCUUCUGUAGUGGAUUCUUAUAAAACAUACUACCAAACUACCAGGUGCUUCUGAAUCUGAAGUUAGAAAGGCUUUUAGACAACUUGCUUUGCAGCAAUAACGAUUGCAAGGGUGGAAUCAUGGAGGAAUGGCACCAGAAGUUACACAAUAAUACUAGCCCUGAUGCUUAUGUGUUCAGAUUUCUUGACGUCUCUCAUCCGAAUCUUGAUUCUCCAACAAAAUCCUCAUAUUCGUCGAAGCUUGCAUCUCAAAGAUUUUCCCCUGUCGUCGGAGACUGCAGAAAUUGAAAGAAGAAUAGAGUUAGAAACAAAGGCUGAAAAGCAUAUUCAGAAACUUCUACUGCUAGGUACAUUUUAUUGACAGUUUUCUUUUAAUCUCAGUCUUGUAUGCUUAAUGUUUCAGGAACACACUUUAAAGCUGAAAUUUGGUGAGUGGGAUGUGAACAAUUCUGCCUCAUCUGAAGGUUUUACUGUUAUUUUCAACAAGGCUAGAGAAGAGAAGGAGACCAAUAUCGUCGCACACGUUGCUACCCCCGCAUAAGCCUGAUCUUGUCUUCCAAAAUGACGAUUUUCCUCGAAAGAGUAAGUGGUUUUGCUGCGAUUGAUACUAUGGUGAGUUAUGCGCCAAUGAAAUAUGUUGGGGAUAAGGGUUAGACAAUGGGAUGGGAGCAUUCUAGAAAGCCUCAACUUUUGUUAUGAUGAACCGUGUUCUUUCAUAAGCUGCUGAUGUUAGUUUUUGAACCUGAGAAGGAAUAAUUUAAGAAGGAACAUCAAGACCAACAAAGUAUUAUACCAAGGAAGCAAACUAUGGUAGAUUUUCUUGUCGUGCCAAAGAUUACUAUCCAUGUUUGCAUUUUGACUUUUUUUUUAUGGUUUUUAGGUUGAAAUUGAAACUGAGUGUUGAUUGAUUUUUUUGUUUUGGGUUGUAAUUUGUAUUGGGUGUUAAUUGGUUUUGCUAUUUUAGAAUAUAAUUUGAACUGAGUUAUCAUAAAUUUUUCUUUCUUGAGUGAAAUUUGAACUAGAUCUUCAUUGAUUUUUCAAUUUUCUCUUGAAUUCAAAUUCUAACUCUGGAUUUCAUUUCACUGUAUUUAAUUUAUUUGAGUUGGUGGGGUUGUUAGUACCAUUUACUCGAGGAGUUUUGAAACUGAGUACUUAAGUAAAUUGUUUGGUUAAGUAUGUGUUAUUAUUUCUUAUUUUGUUUAUAAGAGGAUAUGUAUGAUGAUUAACAUUUACCAUGAAAAAGGGGCAAUGAGAAAAGGCACAUGAAUCUUCAUUAAAUAUGGAUUGUAUGAGUACAAAUAUAGUGAUGAGAACUUGAGCAGUUGAGCUUAUAUCAGAAUGAAAUAUAGUUUUCCACAUUGGAGGAUUUGUAUCUGUGUUGUUAGAAAGUCAGCAAUAUCGGUGGCUAUUAAGUUAAGAGCUUAAAGAAUUGUUAUGGACUGGUUUAUUUGAUUGUACUUAAUUGUGGCAUAGAGCUUAAGAAUUGUUUAAUCUCUUAGGAGAUAAGAGUAAUUGGAUGACAUAAGCUAUGGUCCAUAGUUAACAAUUUUAGAAGUAAGGUAUACUGUGAGAAUCUGUAAGGUAUACUAGGGCCAUCUAUUAUUCAUCAUUACUAAUUUUUGAAUUUGUAUAUUACUACUCUUUAAAAAAUUCACUUUUGCAGGUACACAAUCACGAUUCUCAACAUUGUGUCCUGCUUUUUACUUGAUAGUUGCACCAUAGCAGCAUUGUGUCCUGCUUUUUACUUUAUAGCUGCACCAUAGCAGCUUUUGUACUAGGUCUGCUAUAGCUUAUACUCAAUGUUAACUUAAGAAAAUUUUGUAAUCAAUUUAAAUGUUUGUUGAAGCUACAAAAGUAAUGUAUGACUGUCUCAUUAAUGUAAAUGUUGAAAGAUGAGUUUUUGUUGGAACUGCGUUAUUUUUUACUUCUUUGGACAAAUUGAAAUCGACUGCAGCACAUGAACUUUCAUAUUCGAAUCUUAAGACUUUGCCAAUUAUUAU